This 253-nucleotide ribosomal RNA is filed under the name uncultured bacterium. Its description in RNAcentral is "partial 16S ribosomal RNA". It matches the Rfam family "Bacterial small subunit ribosomal RNA", at positions 524 to 776 of the family's 1533-position model. The record is from RNAcentral.
UACGUAGGGUCCGAGCGUUGUCCGGAGUUACUGGGCGUAAAGCGUGCGCAGGCGGCUUUGCAAGACAGAUGUGAAAUCCCCGGGCUUAACCUGGGAACUGCAUUUGUGACUGCAUGGCUGGAGUGCGGCAGAGGGGGAUGGAAUUCCGCGUGUAGCAGUGAAAUGCGUAGAUAUGCGGAGGAACACCGAUGGCGAAGGCAAUCCCCUGGGCCUGCACUGACGCUCAUGCACGAAAGCGUGGGGAGCAAACAGG